GGUCAUGGCUCAGUGGUAGAGCAUAUGACUGACAUGCAGAAGGUCCCACCCAGAUUCAAUCUCUGCCAUCUCCA
RNAcentral lists this transfer RNA (74 nucleotides) under Sphaerodactylus townsendi. RNAcentral describes it as "tRNA-Val". Lineage: Eukaryota; Metazoa; Chordata; Lepidosauria; Squamata; Sphaerodactylidae. The record is from RNAcentral.